AUACGGAGGGUGCAAGCGUUAAUCGGAAUUACUGGGCGUAAAGAGUACGUAGGUGGUUUGUUGAGUCAGAUGUGAAAGCCCCGGGCUCAACCUGGGAACUGCAUUUGAAACUGGCAAACUAGAGUAUGGUAGAGGGGGGUAGAAUUUCUAGUGUAGCGGUGAAAUGCGUAGAUACUAGAAGGAAUACCAGUGGCGAAGGCGGCCCCCUGGACCAAUACUGACACUGAGGUACGAAAGCGUGGGUAGCGAACAGGAUUAGAUACCCUAGUAGUCC
Molecule: ribosomal RNA, 274 nt
Filed under: uncultured bacterium
Lineage: Bacteria
Description: partial 16S ribosomal RNA
Rfam family: Bacterial small subunit ribosomal RNA
Source: RNAcentral